GGGUCGAUGGCGUAGUUGGUUAUCGCAUCUGUCUUACAUACAGUGGUUUGGAAGUACACAGAAGGUCCUCAGUUCGAGCCUGGGUCGACUCA
Non-coding RNA from Arthromyces matolae, 92 nucleotides. The record is from the annotation of a GenBank genome assembly. NCBI's taxonomy places the organism in Eukaryota, Fungi, Basidiomycota, Agaricomycetes, Agaricales, Lyophyllaceae.